Long non-coding RNA from Drosophila innubila, 388 nucleotides. RefSeq lists it as uncharacterized. Lineage: Eukaryota; Metazoa; Arthropoda; Insecta; Diptera; Drosophilidae. The record is from RefSeq and is a predicted model, not a curated record. The transcript is spliced from 2 exons.
GAUGAAAGUCUUUGUCGAUUUCUUGAUUUUGCUCUGUGCAGUUUUAAACGUUACUUCUCAACAAUUUUCUUCUAAUGUUAUAUUUACACAUUAUAACCCCCAGCAGAAGGAACAAGUUGUUGGAAAAUGGAACUCGGAAAAACAAGGCUGUUUUAAUGCGGCAGAAGCUAACAACGAGUUCUUAUUUCCCUGCAAUCUUAUGGACAAUAUUGUAAAUGAUUUGUCUGCUCAAAUUUCGACAAACAACAAUUUUUCUCCUAAGUUAAAUCCAAAUAACUUACAUUUGAAAGGAUUUGAUUUCAUACUUCAUCCUUAUGUAAUUAAAUAGUUACCAAAUCACUUUAAUUGAAAAUAAACAAGCGGAUUUAAUGCCCUAUUAAAUUUUCAA